UACGGGGUGGCCGAGUGGUUAAGGCGAUGGACUGCUAAUCCAUUGGGGUUUCCCCGCGUGGGUUCGAAUCCCAUCCCCGUCG
This is a non-coding RNA of Echinostoma caproni, 82 nucleotides long. Lineage: Eukaryota; Metazoa; Platyhelminthes; Trematoda; Plagiorchiida; Echinostomatidae. The record is from Rfam.